Molecule: transfer RNA, 79 nt
Filed under: Felis catus (domestic cat)
Lineage: Eukaryota; Metazoa; Chordata; Mammalia; Carnivora; Felidae
Rfam family: tRNA
About the family: Transfer RNA (tRNA) molecules are approximately 80 nucleotides in length.
Source: Rfam by way of RNAcentral
GCCUGGAUGGCUCAGUUGGUUAAGUGCCUGACUUCAGCUCAGGAUCUCACAAGUUGUGGGUUUGAGCCCACAUCAGGCU